RNAcentral lists this ribosomal RNA (635 nucleotides) under uncultured soil bacterium. RNAcentral's name for it is "bacterial SSU rRNA". It matches the Rfam family "Bacterial small subunit ribosomal RNA", at positions 8 to 655 of the family's 1533-position model. The record is from RNAcentral.
AGAGUUUGAUCAUGGCUCAGGAUGUACGCUGGGGGCAUGCUUAACACAUGCAAGUUGAACGGGUUAUAAGUUGAAACUUUAAGUGAAUUCUUGUAAUCAGUAGCGGACGGGUGCGUAACGCGUAAGAACCUACCUUUAGGUGGAGAAUAACUACUGGAAACGGUGGCUAAUACUCCAUAUGCUGAGGAGUGAAAGAGAAAGACAACUUUCUUGCCUAGGGAUGGGCUUGCGUCUGAUUAGCCUGUUGGUAGGGUAACGGCUUCCCAAGGCGACGAUCAGUAGCUGGUCUGAGAGGACGAUCAGCCACACUGGGACUGAGACACGGCCCAGACUCCUACGGGAGGCAGCAGUGAGGAAUUUUCCGCAAUGGGCGAAAGCCUGACGGAGCAAUGCCGCGUGGAGGAAGACAGCCUAUGGGUCGUAAACUCCUUUUCUCAGAGAAGAAUUCUUGACGGUAUCUGAGGAAUCAGCAUCGGCUAACUCCGUGCCAGCAGCCGCGGUAAUACGGGGGAUGCAAGCGUUAUCCGGAAUGAUUGGGCGUAAAGGGUCUGUAGGUGGUCGGUAAAGUCUACCGUUCAAUACCAAGGCUUAACCUUGGGGCAGCGGUGGAAACUCAUCGGCUUGAGUACGGUAGG